GAUGAACGCUGGCGGCGUGCCUAAUACAUGCAAGUCGAGCGAACGGACGAGAAGCUUGCUUCUCUGAUGUUAGCGGCGGACGGGUGAGUAACACGUGGAUAACCUACCUAUAAGACUGGGAUAACUUCGGGAAACCGGAGCUAAUACCGGAUAAUAUUUUGAACCGCAUGGUUCAAAAGUGAAAGACGGUCUUGCUGUCACUUAUAGAUGGAUCCGCGCUGCAUUAGCUAGUUGGUAAGGUAACGGCUUACCAAGGCAACGAUGCAUAGCCGACCUGAGAGGGUGAUCGGCCACACUGGAACUGAGACACGGUCCAGACUCCUACGGGAGGCAGCAGUAGGGAAUCUUCCGCAAUGGGCGAAAGCCUGACGGAGCAACGCCGCGUGAGUGAUGAAGGUCUUCGGAUCGUAAAACUCUGUUAUUAGGGAAGAACAUAUGUGUAAGUAACUGUGCACAUCUUGACGGUACCUAAUCAGAAAGCCACGGCUAACUACGUGCCAGCAGCCGCGGUAAUACGUAGGUGGCAAGCGUUAUCCGGAAUUAUUGGGCGUAAAGCGCGCGUAGGCGGUUUUUUAAGUCUGAUGUGAAAGCCCACGGCUCAACCGUGGAGGGUCAUUGGAAACUGGAAAACUUGAGUGCAGAAGAGGAAAGUGGAAUUCCAUGUGUAGCGGUGAAAUGCGCAGAGAUAUGGAGGAACACCAGUGGCGAAGGCGACUUUCUGGUCUGUAACUGACGCUGAUGUGCGAAAGCGUGGGGAUCAAACAGGAUUAGAUACCCUGGUAGUCCACGCCGUAAACGAUGAGUGCUAAGUGUUAGGGGGUUUCCGCCCCUUAGUGCUGCAGCUAACGCAUUAAGCACUCCGCCUGGGGAGUACGACCGCAAGGUUGAAACUCAAAGGAAUUGACGGGGACCCGCACAAGCGGUGGAGCAUGUGGUUUAAUUCGAAGCAACGCGAAGAACCUUACCAAAUCUUGACAUCCUUUGACAACUCUAGAGAUAGAGCCUUCCCCUUCGGGGGACAAAGUGACAGGUGGUGCAUGGUUGUCGUCAGCUCGUGUCGUGAGAUGUUGGGUUAAGUCCCGCAACGAGCGCAACCCUUAAGCUUAGUUGCCAUCAUUAAGUUGGGCACUCUAAGUUGACUGCCGGUGACAAACCGGAGGAAGGUGGGGAUGACGUCAAAUCAUCAUGCCCCUUAUGAUUUGGGCUACACACGUGCUACAAUGGACAAUACAAAGGGCAGCGAAACCGCGAGGUCAAGCAAAUCCCAUAAAGUUGUUCUCAGUUCGGAUUGUAGUCUGCAACUCGACUACAUGAAGCUGGAAUCGCUAGUAAUCGUAGAUCAGCAUGCUACAGUGAAUACGUUCCCGGGUCU
This 1372-nucleotide ribosomal RNA is filed under the name uncultured bacterium. Its description in RNAcentral is "bacterial SSU rRNA". It matches the Rfam family "Bacterial small subunit ribosomal RNA", at positions 28 to 1381 of the family's 1533-position model. The record is from RNAcentral.